Pseudopipra pipra is the source of this 7075-nucleotide long non-coding RNA. RefSeq lists it as uncharacterized. The transcript is spliced from 9 exons. NCBI's taxonomy places the organism in Eukaryota, Metazoa, Chordata, Aves, Passeriformes, Pipridae. The record is from RefSeq and is a predicted model, not a curated record.
AUCUUGUGAAUGUUAGCUAACUAGGCUGAUAUAAAUCUUUGAGCUGUGAGAACUGAAAAGAUACUUGCAAGCAAUUGUGCAAUAACUAUAUUAAAAUAAAACAAAUUGGGUCCAAAGUCUAGACAUUUGCCUUUUAGCUAUAUGAUUCUUAUCUCUGUCAUAGAGUUUCUCCAUGGAGAUGGUCAGUCCCCACAGAAGAAAAGAUAAAAGGUCAGCAGCAGCGUUGGCCAAACAGUACAGUUUGAACUGGUAUAGUAUAAUUUUUCCUUAUUGAGUUAAUUAAAAGUGUAAAGCCAAAUUAAGCAUUAUUUUCUCUGAUAAGCCUUCUAUAUGUUCCAGUAGUAGCUCUUCUGCUCUUCGAAAAGCCCAGGUCUGGAUCCAACACCUUUUGGAAAACAGUAAAAUGAGGCUGAUUUCCAGCUGAGCAAAAGUUGAACUCAGAUAUGGAAACUCAAUAAGGACUUUACUCUGCAGGUCAGGAUUCCAGAAGAAUUUCAAGGUAUCACAGGCAAGUCCAUGCUCUCCAACUGGUUCCACACAUCCUUUGGCAGGGAAUGCUCUUUUCAGGAUUUUCAGGAACUUACAGAUGUUUCACCACUGUGUCGUUUCAGGGCAUGGCAUUACUGUUUCCUUCCUGGAAAGAACAUAUGGGGAGUUAGAUGGAGAUAAGGCCAUGCAAACUUGAGAUCCUCUUUUGAAUGGCUUCUUUUGCAAGCAGACAGAAUGGUGGAGAAUUCCUGUGCUUACAUCUUUCUUUCCAAAAUCCUGUUAGAUGGCCAACUCAGAUGCUUUUGUAAACCUGGACUAGUGCCUUCAUUUAGCCUGUCUAGGCUUUAUGGCCCUAAAUGUGCCACCAACUCCUUCAUCAGCUGGUUUUCCAGGCUUCCUUGGUGAGUAGCUACAAACCCAAUGCCACCAAGGUUUGAUCCAAUGUAGCCUUUCACCCUUCUGCUUUGCAGAACAAUCAGUUAUUUGUGUUGGCUCUCACUGCAAAGAGAUAGGCAUGAAACAGAAGUACUGCUGUUCCUGUGAGAAGGACAGAGCUAGUUUGUUGCCUCAAUAAAGAGGAGCCAAAGGCUUGGAGAGCCUUCAGGGGGCGCAGGAGGCUGCCUGUGUGCCAGGUGGACUUGCUGGGGAGGCAGCCCUGUGCCCCCAGGGUGCAGAGCAGACCCAGGUCCUCCCACUCUCUGUUUGCAGGGCAGCAGCAGUCGUGGUGUUCCAGGAGGACCCUGUCUCUGUGUCAUUGAUCACACUGCUGAUGUAAAAAGGACCUAACCACUGAAUCAGCCUGAAUAUGUAUUAAGAUGACUCAGACUGAAGAAAUAUGAAUGCUGCCUUUGUAAACUGUAAUAUGAUCUUCAUCUGCCAACAUACCACAACAUUAGGAGCUUAACAUCACGCUGAAGGACAUGAGGGUUAUAUGGAUUUAAAGAUGUUGAGUUCAUCUAGAUAGAAAAACUCCAUGCAGCUCUACAGGUUGGAGGACAAUGUAGCUUUGAAAAAAAAAGAGACCUGUGGGUCCUAGUGGACAACAAACUGAACAGGAAUCAGCAGUGUGCUCUUGCAAAAAAAGAAGGUUAUACACAUACUGGGUUGUACAGGUGAGAGUGGAAGCAGGUUGAGGGAAGAGAAUCUUCCCCUCUAUUGCUCUAAUCACAACGAUAACAACUUUAUUUUAUAGAAGUCAGAAAUCCAUAAAAUGCCUUACUGACUGUUAGCAAGGAAGAUCCUUAGAGAAGUCUUGCCACCAUACAGAGACAUUCAAAAAUAUCAAGCAACUACUGUCUAACUCCACAUUCAUCCAUUACAAUGAAAAGAGGCUGUUGCUGAUUAUGAGCUAUGCACCUUUUUGUGGUUUUGGAGAGAUUCUCAGCUGUUCAUUAAGAGACGGAAUUGAAGCACCUUUUUCUUUCUCCAGAAGAAUGCUGACACCAACAGAAAAAAGUAUGAAUUGAUUAAGGGCUUGCCACUCCUAAGGAUUUGCUUCAAAGACAGGCCAACAGCUUCAGUCAUAUUGCUGUGCAUGCAGUGAUGGAGUUGCUUGUAAGCAGUAAUUGAGUGCUACACUAAGUGCUUAUGAUCACACAACUUUUUGUGAGCCAGAAAAAUAGAUUGCAAAUGCCAGUGUGUGGAGAUGACAGCCAUUGCAUAUGCCAGAUUUUGCUCCUCCACCUGCAGCUGAAUUCUCAGUGCUGGAAUUCCUCCCGUGCCUUUUCAAGCCAACCAUGUCAUGAAAAUGGCUGCCAACGAUUUAUCCAGAGCUUGGAAUGAGUCCUUGGCUGGAUGGGGAGGAAGAGGUUGGCCAACAGAAUAAAUGAAUAGAGUUGAAAUAAUUUUUAACCCAGCAAUUUGAUCUGUCUGCUUACGAAGAAAAACUUUUGCUUUGCUAUUCCUACAGGAAAUCAACAGAUUAUUUUUGUUUUAGUUACAUUAUGUGUAGCAAAUUUGGAUGUACUGCUCCUAAAAAGAUUGACCAGAUGUUACACGUGAUGCUCUGGAAUCAAUGCUAUGAUGGACACAGUUGAAUGUGUCAGCCACCAAUAAGCACAGUGUUUCCCUAGGAUAUGGUCAAGGAUCAAAUUCACUGCCCUGUCCUUUUGAAAGAAUUUCUGAGUGUCAUAGGUUUCUAUACAAAAUGGCUUGAACUGAUUUUUAUUGUUACUGUGAACAUUCAUUUCGACAGCCUCAGCUCUUUCACAGCUAUUUUGCACGUCACACUUACUAAAUCUGUUGUAUUUGAUGCCAAAACUGCCUUCAAUUCUGGUAAGUUACAGUGUUUUCCCCAAGCAACCUGGUUUGAACUGUUACUACGGCAUCAUGCCUUUUCCAGGGAAGCAGUAGGAUCAAAUGGCUCAGUCAGAGAUGUUUAAAAAGGAUUACAAUAGGCUUACUCCCCAUUAGUCAGCACACUUACUCCUAUCCAACUACUGGAGUGAGCCCAGAUGAGCUAAACAUGGGACAGGUCAAGCUAAAAAACACUUCUGUCAGUUCUUCCUGUGUUAAAGUUGUGACACAGGUAAAAAUAAGCUGUGGAGUCAUCUUCUGUAAUUUUAUUUCCUUUGUGUUUGCAGAGUAAAUCAAAUCAGAAUUGCAAGAAUCUGUGAAGCUAGACCAAGUUAAGUUGCCUUGCUCAAGCUUUUGGGAGUCUUUACUGGAAGGAGCACUUUCAAAGUGUCAAGCAAUACAUAGAAAGAUCACAGUAGAAGUGAGUGCACACUGACACAUGGCUAUGUUAUCUAUUGGUAUGUGCACAGAGGGAGCCUGUAGGACAAGAGGCCAAUUGUGCUGCUCUGUUGAUAUAUGUAGGAGUGUUUUAUCUCGAUGCAGAAAAAUUAAUAAACUAAUGAAUGUUGUUCUUCCCUGUCUCUAGUGCUACAGCAAGAACCUGACAUACAGGAGGGCCUCAUUCAUGGGGCUUUUUGGUAUUGUGUUGGUGAUACUCCAAAAGUCAUGUUCAGUACUCCAAAGGUCGUGUUCACUUGGCUGCCUUGGUUUGUGUCAAAGGGCAAUAGGGAAAGAGAGAGAACAUGUAACAAGAAGAGUAAUGGUGUGAAAACAUUGCCUUUGUUCCACUGUUAUUUAAUCCAUCAUUUAAUCCCUUCAGUAGGCUUGCAGAGGAUGGGAUCAGCAGAAAGAGAAAAGCAUUGAAGAAGAUAUCUGGAAGAAGGAAAAUGAGGUUGUCAGAGCUUGGGUGACAAGCACGUGUGAACGUGAGACUAAGGUGACAGGAAGAGUAGAAGUUCAGAAACAUCACACUCAGUGCCAGAGCUGCCAUCAGUCUGAUGAACAAUACCAGGUUGGAUGUGGAUCUUUACUGAGGCUCGAGAGUGCUGCAUGGCAUACUCUGGGGUCCUGCUGAUCAUUCAGGUCUGCUGAUCAUUCAGAGCUGGCUGGAGCAUGCUGGACAUCCAUUCUGUUCCUCUUCUUUCCCUGAGAGUAAAGGUGUUGAGAAGUAGCUGGUAUUCAUCUGGAUUUUAUUGUCAUAUGGGUAAGAUAUUAAAUUUUUUUUUUUUUUUUUGAAGCACUGCCAGGACCAAUUAUUUAUAUGUAGCUGGUGAAGAGAUAAAAAUGAGCUACAGAUUGACUUUGAUAAGAGAAAAUUAAUUAUUCUCACGGUAUAGGAUAUAUCCCAGUACCAUAAUGCAGGAAAAUAGCCCCAAGCAAUGAGUCCUGGAAACUACAGUUUCAUUCAGUCAGCCCAAUGCUGCCAUCUCCAAACCAGCAACUUAAGGAAGCUGUGUAAGAAAACCACUUUGUCACACUGUCCAAUUUAGUAAGUAGCAUCAGAGGGGUUGGGGAAUAAUCUUGUGCUGACUUUACCCUACCACCACUGCUACUCAUAGGUCAGAUACUUCUAUUAUAUAUUAUAAAAUCAUAAAAGCAGGGUUGAAUUCUGGCCUGCAUUGUGUAUGUCAGAAGAUUCUUUUGUCUGAAAUGUAUGUUUUAAAAAUCCAAUUCAAUAUAUUUUUUUUUCCCCCGGGAAAAUAGUAAUAUAAAGCAGGAGUGACUUAUGGAUGGUCAGGGGAGAGAGAAGAAAAUGGGUCAUGAAAAAAGGAGAAAUAAUGAGACCAGAAUCACUCCUGCUAUUAUGGGUUCAACAUUUUUGCCUGUUAUGUGGUGUUGAUAAUGAAUUGAAAGAACAGUUGUUUAUUGAAAAUCUGGGAAUAAAAAUAGAGGUUUGGCUGUUGUUUUACAUGGAAAAAUGCUGCAAUGUGUAAAAAGAGCUAUAUAAGCUACUAAAUAAAUAGUUGUCUAAGAAUUGUCAUUACUCCAUCUGAUAGGAGCCUCAUUUUUCAUAUUUAUUACCUUUCAGGAUAAUGGAAGAUGAUAAAUGAGUUUGUGAAAUUGGGAAAUAAGCUAUGCUUUUCAUCAGGAAAAAAGUCUGGCGGUUGAGAUUGCAAAAGCUGCAGACACACUGUGAGAACAUCUGGGAAUCCUGACAGUAAAGUGUUGAGUCCAGCAGCCAAGUACUUGUCUGAGACCUUUGCUUUGCAACUGCUGGGUUAUCUCUGUCCUUUGAGACCAAUAUCAAGUCUUUUUACACUACCUUUCCAUCAGGUAAUAUGGUUGUUAUGGAGUAAAUCAGGGAUAAUCACAGCACUUGAUUAAAAGCAACAAAUUCAACAAUGAUUAUUUUGGAGGUAAAGAAGUAAAAUUGAAAAGUCUACGGGGGAAGCAGACCGAGAGUGCUGUAGAGAUACCAGCAGGGGGGAAUGCAGGUGAGACCACAGAAAUGGCAGGUGAGCAGUCAUCCAGGUUUCAUGAAGGUCUCCUCACUGUACUAUGAUCUGACUUGUGUUAGGCACUUUUUAAUGCUUGUACUGCCCUGGGGCGCCCUGAAGCCCCCAGCCCCCAGGGCACUGCCAGCCUAAGCUGCACUCUGCCAUUCUGUGCUGCUACAAUUACCUCAAAAGAUAGAUUUCCAAAAUUUUUUAACCUUAAAUUAACCUCAGGGAAGUAUUCAUAAUUCCCCAUAUCUCUGAAUAUUCCAUCUUAUUGCACCAUACACUGAAAUACAGUACCUGGAGACACUUGGUACCUUCCAGUGUGGUAAUGCCUCUGUUCUUCAUUCCUCAGGUCUAAAGAUCCAGAACCUUUAAAAGUCCCCAGAAUGCUCCUUUCAAGUCUAAGAAUCCACAGCUUCACACUAAAAGGUUCUCCAGCUGAGUUAUGCCCCUUAGUCAUGGAAUUCACACCCCACCCCCUCCACUGACGCAAACUUUGGAGAGCAGCUCUAUGGAGGAUAACCUAAGUGCUGCCUCCAGAGCUAAAGUUUACCUACAUCCAGCAUUCUCUGGGAGAAUGGAAGAGAGAACAUGGAAGCUUGGGAGAACAUGGAAGCUUGGGAGAACAUGGAAGCAACAGGCAAGAAAUAAAAAGCAUUGGCCUCAUAAAAUUACAAUAUGAUCUCUGAGUUUGGCUGGUGACCAUGCUCUAGAAGCCACAGCAGACAGGACACAGAGUCAGUUGUGAGAGACACUUUGUAUUCUCAGGACUGUUCAUAUAAAGAAAAUUAUUCCUUUAAUAUGGAUUAAAAUGCACACAGGUUUAGUGGUCCAGAACCAGAUGUGUGACAGGUGAGGUAGAAAGGAAAGGGAGUGGGACACCAGGGAAAGAAAAGAAACAAUGAGGUGCUCAGGAAACCUGAAAACACCAUUUUUCUUUAACAAAAUAGUAGAUGUUUAUCUUGGGAGUCAGUAUUCCAUAGGUAUAUAAUUUCAUGGAUAUAUAAGAAACAGUAUUUUUGAAGAUGUUGGAAAUACGUCUUUGUGAACUUCUAAAAACUCUGAAAAACAAACACUUAUGGGAUUUUAGCUUAUUGGAUUUGCUGAUGUUUUUUCUGUGGACCAAGAGAUGACUUGGCAUUUGAAAGAAAUAGAUGAAUGGGACAUCCAGGGUAUGGACAUUCAUUUUCAUUUGAGAUCAUUUGACUGCGGCUCACAAAAAGAACAUUUUCAUCAGUCAUUGCUUGGUUAGGAUUUAAGACUAUGGAAAAAAAAAAAGAAAAGGCAAAACCAACUGUGAAAUACGGUUUCUAGAUAUAGUUAGAUUUUUUGGCCAUCUUGAUUUCCUGGUGCCCUGUAUUCUACACACAGUACUGUGGCCAGAACAAGCUACUGUAGAUGUGAGAAGAAAAUGCAGGUCAUCCUGAUCUAAAGCACAUGUCUCAGCCACUCUAUCUUUCCUCAGAAUUUAGCCAGUGGUAACACAUUAAAACACUUAUGAGUCCAUUCAGCACAGGGCUGUGUUACAUAUGUAUGCUGGCCUACUCAUUAAAAUUCAUGAGUAGUAGUGCCUUAAACUUGCCUACUACAAGGAUUUUUUUGUUUGGAUAGUCCAGACAGGCUCAUAAAAGCCACCAGUACUUUAUAUUCUAGAUCCAACUCUGCAGCAAUAAAGCUCCUUAAAAAUUGCAUAGAUACAGAACUAAACCAAAUGCCACAAUAUAAAGAAAACUGUAAAAAUCCCACACUGUAUUCUUAAACUGACAGCUUAAUCAUUCCCUGUAAGAUUAGUGUCUGCGCACUGGCUGAAUUAAAGCAGAUCUUACAUUUCAUGGCUAGAAUUCCAGUAA